GUGGCCUAGUGGUUAGCGCGCCCGCCUCUGAUGCGGGAAGUCGUGGGUUCUAUCCCCGGUCGAAUCA
This is a non-coding RNA of Potamilus streckersoni, 67 nucleotides long. The record is from the annotation of a GenBank genome assembly. Lineage: Eukaryota; Metazoa; Mollusca; Bivalvia; Unionida; Unionidae.